UAGCGCAUUUAAUUAUUUCUUGUCAGGUAUAUAGUUUUCGAUGACCAUUGCGUUAAUGACAGAUUGGAUAUUUUUGAUUUUCUGCUGAUCCUAAGAAGCCAGGUCAUUUUGGUGUAAAUCUAUCUCGAAAUUCAGCGUGCUCCAGGCUGCACUUAAACAUGUUUGCUCUCUCUGGUUGUUGACAAUCUGUCAUCAAAGUCAUUUCUUCAGGUGAGAGUGUUAAACUGAGGUUUAGUGCACAAAAAUGGAAAGGAACUGUUGAGAAAAUGUAUCCAUUAAUCAAGUGUGUGAAUGAUUGAUGAUUACUACACAAGAAAAGAAACACUCACUGCCAAAUAUGUUAGUCAGAGUGAACAUACGCACAUAGUGCAGUCUAAUCUUCAUUGUCUGGUUGCUACAUGACCCUUUAACACCACUUCUGAUGUGUUUUCAAUAACUUGAAAGGUGCCUCCUGCUUAAUGCAUACAGUUAUAUAUAUUUCGGAGAUAACUUAAUGUCAUGAGCCGGGUUUAGCUGCGGGCAAUUCCCCCGACAUUAGCCCCCAGAUUAUCUUGAAUACAGGCUUGGCGUGCAUUCAUGCUAAGCUUCCUGAAAUAAGAAUAGAUAAUGAGCCAGCUCCUGAAAAUCUGGGUCUCUGUCAUAUCAACCUGCCGAUGGUAAUUCCAUGCAGAAAAAAUAACCCAUAUGAUAUCUUGAGUUGAAAAAAUAACCCAUAUGAUAUCUUGAGUUGUCUUAAAAAACGCCUUGGCUUGAUAAAAAGAAAAUUUUGUCUGAUGUAGUGUCAACUUUCAAUGCUUCAGACUUUGAUAAAAAAUUCAUACGAUGUUGAGCUGACUUGUCUGAAUAUCUCGGAGGAGAUAAUCUUUGCAAACUUCUUCACCAAAAAUAUGAGACCUGGUUCGCAUAAAACUAAAAAUUUGAAGGUGUUCCUCCCUCACCUGUAGCCCCCAAGUGUUGAGUAGAAGAAAGUGAUAGCUUAAGACUUGCUUAAAUACAAAUGGUGCAUCUUUUGGAGAGAAACAGUUUGUCCAGCCAAGUCUCCAAUUAUAAACUGAAUGUUUUGCACUUCACAUGUGCAGCCCCCAAGGGCCGGCUCAUCGGUACGUGAUGAGCCGGGUCUUCAAUUUGGACUAUAUAAUCUUAGUAAACAACUGACUGCUGUCGCCCCCAAGUGUCGGGUUGUCUUGCCUCCAGCGACCUGGGACUUACAUGUACUCCUUUGAAAAUAGCAUCAUAUGAUGUAGCCCCCAAGCUUUGGGUCACUUUUCAUGUAGUGGAUUAAGGCUUGUAUACUUUGAAUUUUUGACAGGAGCAAUUGGUAGCCCCCAAGGGCGGCGCAUCAUUAUGUGAUGGGUAGGGUCUUCAAUGAGACUAUUUAUAAUGAUUAUGCAUUAGCCCCCAAGUGCCAUAGUGCAUGCUUGCAGCAACAUGGGAUGGGACUUUCAUACUUCCAUUGUAGAAUAAAAUCGUAUCCACCGUCUGGAUGAUGUUUGUUGACUGCUUUGCAUGUUAAUGUUGAACAAUGCUCCUUGUUGUAAGCUGGUGUUUGGAUUAGGAAAUAAUAGCCAUCUCUCUGAAAUGACUUUGAAAU
This 1591-nucleotide long non-coding RNA is filed under the name Triticum aestivum (bread wheat). Its description in RNAcentral is "long non-coding RNA (TAES_LNC011072)". Lineage: Eukaryota; Viridiplantae; Streptophyta; Magnoliopsida; Poales; Poaceae. The record is from RNAcentral.